GACGAACGCUGGCGGCAUGCUUAACACAUGCAAGUCGAACGGAAAGGCCCUGCUUUUGUGGGGUGCUCGAGUGGCGAACGGGUGAGUAACACGUGAGUAACCUGCCCUUGACUUUGGGAUAACUUCAGGAAACUGGGGCUAAUACCGGAUAGGAGCUCCUGCUGCAUGGUGGGGGUUGGAAAGUUUCGGCGGUGGGGGAUGGACUGGCGGCUUAUCAGCUUGUUGGGGGGGUAGUGGCUUACCAAGGCUUUGACGGGUAGUCGGCCUGAGAGGGUGACCGGCCACAUUGGGACUGAGAUGCGGCCCAGACUCCUACGGAGGGCAGCAGUGGGGAAUAUUGCACAAUGGGCGGAAGCCUGAUGCAGCAACGCCGCGUGCGGGAUGACGGCCUUCGGGUUGUAAACCGCUUUCGCCUGUGACGAAGCGUGAGUGACGGUAAUGGGUAAAGAAGCACCGGCUAACUACGUG
This 468-nucleotide ribosomal RNA is filed under the name uncultured bacterium. RNAcentral describes it as "partial 16S ribosomal RNA". It matches the Rfam family "Bacterial small subunit ribosomal RNA", at positions 28 to 507 of the family's 1533-position model. The record is from RNAcentral.